CCUAUACUGCAAGUCGAGCGGACAGAUGGGAGCUUGCUCCCUGAUGUUAGCGGCGGACGGGUGAGUAACACGUGGGUAACCUGCCUGUAAGACUGGGAUAACUCCGGGAAACCGGGGCUAAUACCGGAUGGUUGUUUGAACCGCAUGGUUCAAACAUAAAAGGUGGCUUCGGCUACCACUUACAGAUGGACCCGCGGCGCAUUAGCUAGUUGGUGAGGUAACGGCUCACCAAGGCAACGAUGCGUAGCCGACCUGAGAGGGUGAUCGGCCACACUGGGACUGAGACACGGCCCAAACUCCUACGGGAGGCAGCAGUAGGGAAUCUUCCGCAAUGGACGAAAGUCUGACGGAGCAACGCCGCGUGAGUGAUGAAGGUUUUCGGAUCGUAAAGCUCUGUUGUUAGGGAAGAACAAGUACCGUUCGAAUAGGGCGGUACCUUGACGGUACCUAACCAGAAAGCCACGGCUAACUACGUGCCAGCAGCCGCGGUAAUACGUAGGUGGCAAGCGUUGUCCGGAAUUAUUGGGCGUAAAGGGCUCGCAGGCGGUUUCUUAAGUCUGAUGUGAAAGCCCCCGGCUCAACCGGGGAGGGUCAUUGGAAACUGGGGAACUUGAGUGCAGAAGAGGAGAGUGGAAUUCCACGUGUAGCGGUGAAAUGCGUAGAGAUGUGGAGGAACACCAGUGGCGAAGGCGACUCUCUGGUCUGUAACUGACGCUGAGGAGCGAAAGCGUGGGGAGCGAACAGGAUUAGAUACCCUGGUAGUCCACGCCGUAAACGAUGAGUGCUAAGUGUUAGGGGGUUUCCGCCCCUUAGUGCUGCAGCUAACGCAUUAAGCACUCCGCCUGGGGAGUACGGUCGCAAGACUGAAACUCAAAGGAAUUGACGGGGGCCCGCACAAGCGG
This 902-nucleotide ribosomal RNA is filed under the name Bacillus subtilis. RNAcentral describes it as "bacterial SSU rRNA". It matches the Rfam family "Bacterial small subunit ribosomal RNA", at positions 48 to 932 of the family's 1533-position model. Lineage: Bacteria; Bacillati; Bacillota; Bacilli; Caryophanales; Bacillaceae. The record is from RNAcentral.